AGCGAACGCUGGCGGCAUGCCUAACACAUGCAAGUCGCACGGGGGGGCUUCGGCCUCCCAGUGGCGGACGGGUGAGGAACGCGUAGGGACCUGUCGAGGGGUGGGGGAUAACCGCGGGAAACUGCGGCUAAUACCGCAUGACGCCGCGGCGUGACAGCCGGGGCCAAAGGCGAAAGCCGCCCGCCGAGGGGCCUGCGUCCGAUUAGCUGGUUGGCGGGGUAGCGGCCCACCAAGGCGUCGAUCGGUAGCUGGGCUGGGGGGGUGGUCGGCCACACGGGGACGGGGACACGCCCCGGCCCCCGAGGGGGGGAAGCAGGGGGGAAUUUUGGACAGGGGGCGAAAGCCUGACCCCGCAAGGCCGGGGGGGUGAAGAAGGUUUUGGGAUUGUAAAGCCCUUUCGGCGGGGACGAUGGGGAGGGUACCCGCAGAAGAAACCCCGGCAAACUGGGG
Molecule: ribosomal RNA, 450 nt
Filed under: uncultured bacterium
Lineage: Bacteria
Description: partial 16S ribosomal RNA
Rfam family: Bacterial small subunit ribosomal RNA
Source: RNAcentral